GAGCGGGGGCACAAUCUGUGCAGCCAAUUCACGCCACCUCUGGGCGUACUCCUUGAAUGUUUCUUUCUCCUUCUGGGACAUGGCCCUCAGUUGGUCCCUAUCGGGAGCCAUAUAUCUGUGCAGCCAAUUCACGCCACCUCUGGGCGUACUCCUUGAAUGUUUCUUUCUCCUUCUGGGACAUGGCCCUCAGUUGGUCCCUAUCGGGAGCCAUAUCAACGUUGUACUUGUACUGCUUGACGAAAGCUUCGCCAAGGUCGUUGAAGGAGCGGAUGUUCGCACUAUCCAG
This 286-nucleotide long non-coding RNA is filed under the name Lathyrus oleraceus (garden pea). Its description in RNAcentral is "Pisum sativum (pea) long non-coding RNA (PSAT_LNC016722)". The record is from RNAcentral. Lineage: Eukaryota; Viridiplantae; Streptophyta; Magnoliopsida; Fabales; Fabaceae.